GACGAACGCUGGCGGCGUGCUUAACACAUGCAAGUCGAACGGAAAGGCCCUGCUUUUGUGGGGUGCUCGAGUGGCGAACGGGUGAGUAACACGUGAGUAACCUGCCCUUGACUUUGGGAUAACUUCAGGAAACUGGGGCUAAUACCGGAUAGGAGCUCCUGCUGCAUGGUGGGGGUUGGAAAGUUUCGGCGGUUGGGGAUGGACUCGCGGCUUAUCAGCUUGUUGGUGGGGUAGUGGCUUACCAAGGCUUUGACGGGUAGCCGGCCUGAGAGGGUGACCGGCCACAUUGGGACUGAGAUACGGCUCAGCGUCAUACGGGAGGCAGAAGUGGGGAAAAUUGCACAAUGGGCGGAAGCCUGAUGCAGCAACGCCGCGUGCGGGAUGACGGCCUUCGGGUUGUAAACCGCUUUCGCCUGUGACGAAGCGUGAGUGACGGUAAUGGGUAAAGAAGCACCGGCUAACUACGUG
RNAcentral lists this ribosomal RNA (468 nucleotides) under uncultured bacterium. RNAcentral describes it as "partial 16S ribosomal RNA". It matches the Rfam family "Bacterial small subunit ribosomal RNA", at positions 28 to 507 of the family's 1533-position model. The record is from RNAcentral.